ACAGGAAGGUAAAAUAGAGUAGCCACAUUGGAAAGCAGCCUGGCAGUUUCUCACAGAGUCGACACACAACAAGUUGAAACAGACUGAAAAAGAAAAGAGGUUGAAAGUUUACAGUGAUACUCUUCCGAUGGCAAUUCACCCGAGAGAAAUAAAAACACGUGACCACGUGGACACUGGGACCUGGAUGCUCAGGGAAGCACAGUCCAUGAGGGUCAGCACCCGAGACAAUCCAAAUGUCCACCCACUGGUGAAUGAAUCAACAAAAUGUGCUAAAUCCCAUAGAUGGAAUGCUAUGCAGUAAUGAAAAGGGAACCAAGUACUGCCCCAUGUGACAACAUGGACAAACUCUAGUGAAAGAAACCAGAUACAAAUGCGUUUGGUACAACCUCAUUUAGGUGAAAUGCAGGAAUGGUAGGACUCUAGGGACAGGAGCUCAGAAGUUGCCUGGGCUAGGGUUAGGGCCAGGCACAAGAUGUGUAACUGCAGAUUGGCACAAGUGAUCUCUAUGGGUUGGCACAAAUGUU
This 524-nucleotide long non-coding RNA is filed under the name Marmota monax (woodchuck). The record is from RNAcentral. Lineage: Eukaryota; Metazoa; Chordata; Mammalia; Rodentia; Sciuridae.